AAGAUUUGCCUACAUCUACUAAGGUGAUAGAAGCAGUUUGAACUCCAUUAUCUUAACAGGCAGAAACAGUCCUCAUCUCGUCAUGUAUUGCCUUGUAGCAUUGGAGACUACACAGUGGAAGCUUCGACUUUGAAUCCCUGUACUUGUAAGGAUUUGUACAGGAUGGACCUGCACAUUUCUCUCGGGGAGGAGGGUACCUGCAAGGCUUGGGGUCAAAUAUACUUGGCAAGCCUAUCUCAUUGGGGAAUGUUACGACUGUUCCUGAAGGACCCAUGACCCAUCUAACAUGGUCUGAUGUAAGAAUCAUGGCAUUUGCAGCCUUCUCCUGAGCUAAUUCUUCUUGCCGUUUCUUCAUUUUAUCUUCUCGCUUCUUCCUACUGGAAUCUUGGCCAAGUAUUUUUCUGAUUGCCUCCGCCUCUGAUUCCCUAGCUGCCCUUUCCACUUGCAUCCUACGUCUUUGAAGAGCCUCAGCUCUCUUCAAUUGCUGCUCCACUUCAGUGAGUUUCUCUUUUUGCUUUUUAGGAGGAGCUGGAGGCAACCCAUUUGGGAACUCGAUUAAACUAGCACCAAAACUGGAGGAGCCAUCUUUGCCAGUUUGAAGUGCACGUUGACGUGUGGUAACUGUCAUUUCUUUCUUAGAAUCUUCCAUUAAAUCAACUAAUUCUUUUCUCGGUUUCUUCCUCUUUGUUGUUGGCUCACCAUCAGACCCUGGCUCUUCCUCUUCCACAUAGUCAGUAUCAUCAGAUACUCUCCCUGAUUUACUCUUCUUAAUCUCCUUGCCAAAUCUAGAUGAGCUAUGAUCUCCAACAUCUGCAUCAUAUAGACCACCAACAUUUCUUUUCAAUACCUUUGAUAUCUUCCGCUGUUUCCUACUUCUUUCUUCCUGUUCGUCUUCAUAUUCUGCACCAUAAUCAGCAGUGAUCUUAGAUGUUUUGACCUUUUCAAGGUAUCGAAUCUCAUCAUCAUCUUCAUCUUCAUCUUCAUCAUCAAGCACUCCAUCCAAUAAGCGUUUCUUUGGGACCCGUUUGCUCUUACGAACUGGCUCAUACUUAUCUGUUUGUUUCGAAGAGAGAUUUUCUUCAGGCAUCCUACCCCUCAAACCAUCUGCUUUCCCAACAGUUAAACUACUUCUAGAGAAAUCCUUCCAUGGGACUCCUCGCAAACCACUCCCCUUAUCUGAAGCAAAGGAACGAUUAUCCUCCAAAUCCUCAAUUGACUUCUGUUGGGGAUCUGGGAAGCGGGAGGAUCUGGUAGAAGAAGACCCAACAGCAGAUGCACCAUCAGAUGCAGACUUGGCAUUAAUAGUGCGUAUGACGCCACCAACCUUAAGCUUGACCUUUUUCACUUUAUUGUCAUUUCCUACUCCGUCUGAAACAACUCUACUCUGCCCCAAGCUGCUUGUGCUUUUCCAAUUAGCUGGGGCCAGAACACCUUCACUGCAUCUUCUAGAAUCAACUCCGCUGUGCCUCUGCUCAUUACUUCCUCGAAAAGAACCAUUGUUAGAAGCCUCAUCAGAUUCUCCAAAUCCUCCAUCUUCAGGCUUCAUUAUAUUACUGUCUGAAGGUGGCGUGGAUGAUAAGGAUGAGAUAUCAUGGUAAUCAGAAGGCAACUGUGAGUCGUUCCGAGGACGACGAGAUGUAGUACUCCUCCUCUUCCUCACAGCACUGCUUGCAUCACUAAACCCAAAACCCUCCAUAAUGGUCAAAGAGGUUGAAGCAAAUGCCUAGUGCUUUCUGGGUGGUAAUGAAAACCCUGAAAUCCCUAAAUCACCCUAUAAAAACAACCAUCAAGAAAUAGACAAUGUCGGCAGUUAUAGGGUUUGGGUUAACGGGUACGGGUAAGAAAAUUAGCCAGGUGGGAAAGCGUGAUUGGACAGAGAAAGGAGGAGGUGGUGGGUCUUGGAUGAAAUGAUGAGGGGUAGAGGAAGGGAGUGGCGCGAAGGACUUGCUGCAAGAUUCAUCAUCAUCUUUCUUUCUACAUCUAAAAAUCCACCAGUCGCCCGUGCUCUUGCUGUGUCACCACUUUCGUACUCUAUCUCCUCUCGCUGUAGGGUGAUGCAGCUUCCUUCGUUUGGGUCAAUAUCUUCCAAAGUCCAAACCUUUGGCCUUGCUCCGUUCGCGAACGCAGGAAGGUGAGCGC
This 2139-nucleotide unclassified non-coding RNA is filed under the name Hevea brasiliensis (rubber tree). Lineage: Eukaryota; Viridiplantae; Streptophyta; Magnoliopsida; Malpighiales; Euphorbiaceae. The record is from RNAcentral.